This is a long non-coding RNA of Monopterus albus (swamp eel), 3103 nucleotides long. RefSeq lists it as uncharacterized. The record is from RefSeq and is a predicted model, not a curated record. The transcript is spliced from 6 exons. NCBI's taxonomy places the organism in Eukaryota, Metazoa, Chordata, Actinopteri, Synbranchiformes, Synbranchidae.
UGUGCGUUUGUGUGCAUGUGUGUGUGUGCACGGGGGUGGUUGGUGUUGUUCCUGGCAGCCAAAAGCUUUAUUUACUCCUGUUUGGAAACCAACAGCAUCUAUUCUGAGUGAAUCCUCUUUCCUGCAGCGACGGAGGAGAAAAACUGAAGCAUCCCUGCCUCCUUCAGAUUUGCCAGGGUUUACUGAGGGGAGACCUUUGAUGAAAAGAUAUUAUAACAACGCUUUUCCCGCCUGUAUAGUUUGAAAGGCAUCAUCGGAUGCCAUGCAGGUAGACAGAGAGAGGUUCGAGAGGGGGAAAGAGAGAGAGAGAGAGAGACAGAGCGUGAUAGCAGGCGGACUGACUUGGAUCAGCUCUUCUGCUCACGUCAGUCCCGUCAUUUCCUUCCGUGCCUGACCAACUCAUAAAGGAAUCCGUCUGAUUUCUUUACCAGUCCGGCCUUUUUGAAGUGAUGCAAGUUUGUCUCUCGCUAAAGUAAACAGAAGAUGUGUAGCAGUCACUGCGCUUAAGAAAUAUUUGAAAAAAAGUAGUGAAAGUGAUCUCGAAAUUCUGUGUUUGAGUUCAGCAAGAUGCGCCCGACACAAAUGCUUUAAUGUGUUUUUUGGUUUAAGAGCUCUGCUCACAAUAACUUAGCAUCCUAGCGACGAGGAGAGCGCCAAAGAGGCGACGGGAGCGUCAGCCCAAAAAAGAGUCUGAAAGAAUCACCCUUUUAUUUAAGGUAUUAGAGCUGAAUUAGCGACCCGGAUCGGCAAGAUGAUGAAUUAGCCUACAGACGUCUGCACAGUCCUGCAGCCCAACUAGGGGGACAAGACUCGCGCUCGCCCCCAGUCCCAGGCUGUGUACGACUUUGCCCAAUUUGUCCAGUAUUUUGCAUGCGGACUACGAGACUGCCGUGCCACAGAUGGAAAAGCAAAAACAAAUAAACCACAUCGACCACCUGUCUUUGUCGUGCAAAAUCCUCAUUGCACCUCUGAUACAUUCCUCCUCCUCUCCAAACACACACACAAAAAAAAACAACAACACUGUAAAUCUUCGUCGGUCAAAACGCGCAAAUAUCGGAAGAUCUUGCUCAAUAAUUCAAUACCGAGCGUGUAAAUUCGGUGGAAACAACACGCAUUCCCGAGUCGUGACUGCUAAAGUGAGUAAUGUGCGCGUUGGCUGCGUCAGGAGAGGCAGUCACUGUGCAGUGCAGACGGUGGGGGAGAAUCGUGACUGACUGGGUUGCAAAUGAAAAGACCACCCAAUUAAAAAAUUCCCAUACCGGGAGGGAGGAAAGAGAAGAGGGGAUCAUGGCGGGAGGGAAAGGGUGGAGGUCUGAGGUGGGCUUUAGAGUCUCUACUAGCCAUUUCCUUAACGCCCCCCUCCCCACCCCAGCACCCCAGUCCAAAAUAUCUCCUUUCUCCCCAAAGCUUGUUUUUAUUGUGAGCCCUGCUGUUUGCUGGCAGCCAACUUGAAUGCAGACGAGUUUCAUCAGUGAUAGUGGGGCAGUGAGGAUUGGGGGUGGAGGGGUGGGGGGCAAACCUGUUACAAACAAGUGGGGAGCAGAGAGAGGGGGUCCGGAUCCAGAUCGUGACCCGGCCUCCACCUCGGUAUACAGUAACUUGCAGGUCCGUGAAGGGGAAGCUGAGGGUUGUUUAUGGGGGUAAGAUAUUGCACUGGCAUUAGAAAAUCUAAUGGGAAUGUUGCAGGAAUAAAAACAGGAAAGAACAAUGCCGAAAAAAGAUGGUAAUGGGGUGACAUGUGUGCCCGGUGGACCCUGCUGCCGCUGCUGCCGCUGCUGCUGUUGCUGGAGCCUCCAGAUGUGCACCGGAGAAUAAAGGGGACCCACGUUUUGGAUGUUUUCACCGAGGGAGUGCACAGAGACACCGGUCGACCUUCCUACUCCUCCUUGUCUCCCCCCUCUUCCUCGUACGGAGAAAGGACAGAAUUGAUGGUUUUAAGAAGAAAUAGAAUGGAAGUAAAACACUUGAUGAAGGAUAAGAAGCAGCUGAAAGGAAAAAGGAAGGCCCUGUCAGGGAGGGAGGAGGCAACGGGAUGGGCAGCAAAAGAUCUUGGCUCAACUGACACCUUUUUUUCAAGUAGCACCACCCAAAACUGUGAGAGUCAAGCUGGUUUGAGUGAGGCACACCCGUGUCCUGCACUCAGAACCGGGGAGAGUCAUCUAAUCACAGCUGUGAAAGGAUAAGCAGGAUGAUGUGACAGCAGCCACAUGCACCACAGCUGUGCACAUUCACCACUGUCUACUCAGCUGGAUAUAAUGUGCACACAUACAGAUGCAGCUGCUGUAACGUUGCUGUCGUCGGAGGAUGAAGCCUUUUGGAACUGCGAGGACACGACCAACACAUGAAGGUGGACUCUCAAAACGUCCGAUAGGAGUGUGUGUGUCAUGAUAUUUAAUAUUAUCCGUUUAAACACACUUUGAGGGUACAUUUUGCUGACUGUGUUACACCACACUAAAAUGUAUAGUAUGUACAACAUUGCUGGUAAAAAUUUGUGUGCAAAACCUGGGUUCAUAUUACAGUCUGUAGUUCAAUGUGUAAUAUUGAUUUUGCAAUAAUGCCAGAAUACAAAAUCUGUAGUCAAAAGUAUUUUUGUGAAGAUAAUUUUGUCAAAGGUGACAUUUGGUAAAUAUAUUUUAUCUUGCAGAAAUACAUUCAAUUCCAUCUCGUUUGUGAGUGUUAUACAAAUUGCUGGUCGAUACUCCUGGUGUCACGUUGGCUUCGGUCCAUCCACUUGUGUCAAAGAAUUCGAGCAGCUGCGUGAUGACUGUCAGCAUGUAGACACAUUUUUAUACUCCUGUCUCUCUGCUGAGUACAUGGCAGGCUUUGUUUUCUGCCAGACAGACAAGGUUUGUCUGCAUUUCAUGUUUAGUUUGUGUGUGAGAGAGAGACAGGGAGCAUGGCGGUGGAAGAGGUGUGUUGGAGACUAAAAAGGCUGUUUCAAGUAUCCUUUCUGGGUCGGAGUGGGGAACAGAGAACACAUACCGUUGAAGAACAACUCGUGACAGCUGGUUGUGCUGAAACAUCCAGCGUCUGUAAAGACGACUGACUUAUUCGUGCGCAUGGAAAUGUUUAAAAAACUGUGAAAUAAAGCGAUGGAAAUUCA